This 577-nucleotide small RNA is filed under the name Pongo abelii (Sumatran orangutan). RNAcentral describes it as "retained intron". Lineage: Eukaryota; Metazoa; Chordata; Mammalia; Primates; Hominidae. The record is from RNAcentral.
AGAAACCGUGCCGGAGAGAUAAGGGAGAGCCGAGAGGAAGCGGGGAUGUCGGAGGAGAUCAUCACGCCGGUGUACUGCACCGGAGUGUCAGCCCAAGUGCAGAAGCAGCGGGCCAGGGAGCUGGGCCUCGGCCGCCAUGAGAAUGCCAUCAAGUACCUGGGCCAGGAUUAUGAGCAGCUGCGGGUGCGAUGCCUGCAGAGUGGGACCCUCUUCCGUGAUGAGGCCUUCCCCCCGGUGCCCCAGAGCCUGGGUUACAAGGACCUGGGUCCCAAUUCCUCCAAGACCUAUGGCAUCAAGUGGAAGCGUCCCACGGAGCUGCUGUCAAACCCCCAGUUCAUCGUGGAUGGAGCCACCCGCACAGACAUCUGCCAGGGAGCACUGGGGGACUGCUGGCUCUUGGCGGCCAUCGCCUCCCUCACUCUCAACGACACCCUCCUGCACCGAGUGGUUCCACACGGUCAGAGCUUCCAGAAUGGCUAUGCCGGCAUCUUCCAUUUCCAGGUGAGGGCCCCCCUGGGGAGGAGGGGCAGCAGGCAUUGGGGGAGAUGUGGAAGGAUGACCCAUAGUACCUGCCGUU